RNAcentral lists this long non-coding RNA (306 nucleotides) under Populus trichocarpa (black cottonwood). Its description in RNAcentral is "long non-coding RNA (PTRI_LNC003944)". The record is from RNAcentral. Lineage: Eukaryota; Viridiplantae; Streptophyta; Magnoliopsida; Malpighiales; Salicaceae.
AAAGGAUCAAAAACUGCGAAGCUUCUUACGGUUUCAAGCUCCGUGUGUUCUAUCCAACGACAUAGAAUUUGCAGAUGAGAAGGGGGUGACACAGUACUUCACUGGCCUUUUUCUUUGCAGACCAACCGGACAAGGAAAAUCCAUGAUCAUUGUCAGGUUUGGAGCAACAAAAAGACCUCAAAUGGCAAAGGUGAUCCCUAAAUGGUACUUCCAUCAAAAUGCGUGCAAAAUCUUUGAGCAAGACAUGGGAUUUCUGUCAUCACAGAAUGAAGUUUUAAUGAAAGAAAAGGUUCCAACAAAGGAAUU